This 422-nucleotide ribosomal RNA is filed under the name Verrucomicrobiota bacterium. RNAcentral describes it as "Verrucomicrobia bacterium partial 16S ribosomal RNA". It matches the Rfam family "Bacterial small subunit ribosomal RNA", at positions 355 to 776 of the family's 1533-position model. Lineage: Bacteria; Pseudomonadati; Verrucomicrobiota. The record is from RNAcentral.
UGGGGAAUUUUGCACACUGGGCGCAAGCCUGAUGCAGCGACUCCGCGUGAGGGAUGAAGGCCUUCGGGUUGUAAACCUUUUUCGCUCAUGGUCAAGCCGCAGCUUUGGGUUGUGGUGAGGGUAGUGGGUAAAGAAGCGCCGGCUAACUACGUGCCAGCAGCCGCGGUUAUACGUAGGGCGCGAGCGUUGUCCGGAAUUAUUUGGCGUAAAGGGCUUGUAGGCGGUUGGCCGCGUCUGCCGUGGAAUCCUCUGGCUUAACUGGGGGCGUGCGGUGGGUACGGGUUGACUUGAGUGCGGUAGGGGAGACUGGAAUUCCUGGUGUAGCGGUGGAAUGCGCAGAUAUCAGGAGGAACACCGGUGGCUAAGGCGGGUCUCUGGGCCGUUACUGACGCUGAGGAGCGAAAGCGUGGGGAGCGAACAGG